This 198-nucleotide ribosomal RNA is filed under the name uncultured bacterium. Its description in RNAcentral is "partial 16S ribosomal RNA". It matches the Rfam family "Bacterial small subunit ribosomal RNA", at positions 328 to 539 of the family's 1533-position model. The record is from RNAcentral.
ACGCUCGACACCUACGGGGGGCAGCAGUGGGGAAUAUUGCACAAUGGGGGAAACCCUGAUGCAGCAACGCCGCGUGAAGGAAGACGGUUUUCGGAUUGUAAACUUCUGUUCUUAGUGAAGAUAGUGACGGUAGCUAAGGAGCAAGCCACGGCUAACUACGUACCAGCAGCCGCGGUAAUCUGAGCGGGCUGGCAAGGC